This 21-nucleotide microRNA is filed under the name Arabidopsis thaliana (thale cress). Its description in RNAcentral is "ath-miR5663-5p". The record is from miRBase by way of RNAcentral. Lineage: Eukaryota; Viridiplantae; Streptophyta; Magnoliopsida; Brassicales; Brassicaceae.
AGCUAAGGAUUUGCAUUCUCA